Notechis scutatus (mainland tiger snake) is the source of this 110-nucleotide non-coding RNA. The record is from RefSeq and is a predicted model, not a curated record. Lineage: Eukaryota; Metazoa; Chordata; Lepidosauria; Squamata; Elapidae.
GAGAGAGAGAGAGAGAGAGAGAGAGAGAGAGAGAGAGACGGAGGGAGAGGGAGAGAACCAGAGAAGACCAAUGUGAACAGUGUAUGGAACCCGCCAUCAAGUCUUUUUGG